GUUUUCUUCCGCCGGUGGAAGUGGCACAAUGAUUGAUUUGGUUCAGGUGAGUGGUAUCUGAUUUUAGUUUGUACAAAUGCACGUCUUAGGAGAAAACGCUCGCACAAGGAUGAGGACGCAUAACACACCGUCAUCAGCCGAACAUUACACGAUGUGUUAGCGUAUGCCAAUGUUAGCUUUUUAGCACGGUUUUAUAUACAUGUUGCUGACGUUGCAUACUAGUUAACGAAGAAAAAGAGUAAGAUUCAAUCUUAGCUAACAUCCAAUCCCUACACGUGGUCGUAGGCAAAAAAAAAAUUGUUAUACUCCAAUCAUAUGCAUGCAUUAUUCUAAAUUAUUAAAUGUAUAUAUAACUCAUAAGAAUUAAUCUAUUGAAAUGGUUGCAUCUUAAAUUAUCAAUUCUUCAGUGAUAACGUUGUAAGAGACGAUGCAUUGACACAUGCUUUAUGUUAUAGUGACCUUCGACGAUCAAGGCCACAAAUCUAGGCAUCGAUGAGAAGGCUAAGGCCUUCAACGAUCAUGGGCGUGGGGACCGGAGGCAUUUGUUCGCAAGAUGUUUUGUGCAGGGUACAUAGAUGAAUUUUGAUAUUUGGAUGCGAGGGCAACACCAAUUAUGGCUAACAACACCCAUAUGUCCUUCCCAUUGCCGCCUAUUUCCUAGCCAUCUCUUAUAAGCAUCUAUUGUCGAGUAAUGACGAUGAUGAUGGAUGUCUUCGUGCGACCAAAUGCAUUACCUACACAAGUAGGAGUUGGCAUAUGGAUGUGCUUCAAGCAAACUAGUGUACGAUUUCACAUAAGAGAGAAUGUUAUGCAUUCAUCCAAAGUUUUAAAUGUAUCAUCCCCUAAUGUGAUCUCUACCGAUGCUACUUGCGUUACCGGUGCUCCUCUAUCGGCUGGUUGUGUGUGAUGACACGAGAUGAGAUGGUUGAUACAUCACCGAAAGUCCAUCCCAAAGUGAAAUGUGUCG
This 967-nucleotide long non-coding RNA is filed under the name Hordeum vulgare. RNAcentral describes it as "long non-coding RNA (HVUL_LNC017073)". The record is from RNAcentral. Lineage: Eukaryota; Viridiplantae; Streptophyta; Magnoliopsida; Poales; Poaceae.